UCCAGAGUGCGCUCUGGGGUACUUGCUGAGAACAGCAGUGAGCAGUAGCGUGCGAGUGACAGUGAAGAAAUUUCUUCCGCCUCGAUGGAAAUAUAUGACAUGUAGGCUACAUAUAAAGAGCCAAUACUUUUGAAACUGUGAGGAAAACAACGCGCCUUUAGCGCCUGCUUCACUAUACUCGUCACCAUGUCAGUCAGAGCAACCGACCGCCGGAUGAGGUUCUAAGGAUCUAAUGCUUGUGAUAAUCUACAGCAGAUGACCAUGACAAUCCAGGUUCUGUGGAUCGACUGCUUAUGCUAAUCUACUGCAGGUGACCAUAACAAUCCAGGUACUGUGAACUACUGCUUUUGCUAAUCUACCGCAGGUGACCAUGACAAUCCAGGUUCUGUGAACUACUGCUUGUGAUAAUCUACAGCAGAUGACCAUGACAAUCCAGGUUCUGUGGAUCGACUGCUUGUGCUAAUCUACCGCAGGUGACCAUAACAAUCCAGCAGAUAACUUCAGGAUUUAUAGAAGGCAUAUAAUGACAGUGAGCGGGACCAAAACUCUGACAAUCUAAAUCACCUAUAGGUAGCAUAAGUAAUCUAUAUGAUUCAAGUUGCUCAAAUAAUGUCUAGAUGUGUAACGAAUACCUUGCAUGUACAGAGCUAUGUUCUGAAUCUGAUAUACUCCGCUUGUAUUCCCACUGUCAGAUGAACAUUUUAAAAAAUAAAUAUUUUUGCAUU
Molecule: long non-coding RNA, 725 nt
Organism: Triplophysa rosa
Lineage: Eukaryota; Metazoa; Chordata; Actinopteri; Cypriniformes; Nemacheilidae
Exons: 7
Source: RefSeq, a predicted model, not a curated record